RNAcentral lists this ribosomal RNA (642 nucleotides) under fungal endophyte. RNAcentral's name for it is "eukaryotic LSU rRNA". The stretch from base 191 to 344 matches the Rfam family "5.8S ribosomal RNA". The record is from RNAcentral. Lineage: Eukaryota; Fungi.
CGGAGGGAUCAUUAAAGAGUUCUAUAACUCCCAAACCCAUGUGAACAUACCUAACGUUGCCUCGGCAGGUCGCACUUACCUUGUAGCACCCUACCCUGUAGGGCCUACCCGGGAGAUGCGGGUAAGCCUGCCGGCGGCCCACCAAACUCUGUUUAAUAUUGAAUUCUGAACAUAUAACUAAAUAAGUUAAAACUUUCAACAACGGAUCUCUUGGUUCUGGCAUCGAUGAAGAACGCAGCGAAAUGCGAUAAGUAAUGUGAAUUGCAGAAUUCAGUGAAUCAUCGAAUCUUUGAACGCAUAUUGCGCCCAUUAGUAUUCUAGUGGGCAGGACCGUUCGAGCGUCAUUUCGACCCUUAAGCCUUAGUUGCUUAGUGUUGGGAGCCUACGGCAACGUAGCUCCUCAAAGUUAGUGGCGGAGUUGGUUCACACUCUAGACGUAGUAAUUUUUUAUCUCGCCUAUUAGUUGGACUGAUCCCCUGCCGUAAAACCCCCAACUUAUCAAGGUUGACCUCGAAUCGGUUCAGACAAACUCGCUAAAUUGAAGCAUCUUAGUCAGCGAAGGAAAAGAAACCAACAGGGAUUGCCCUAGUAACGGCGAGUGAAGCGGCAACAGCUCAAAUUUGAAAUCUGGCCCUCGGGUCC